AGAACGAACGCUGGCGGCAUGCCUAACACAUGCAAGUCGAACGAGACCUUCGGGUCUAGUGGCGCACGGGUGCGUAACGCGUGGGAAUCUGCCCUUAGGUACGGAAUAACAGUGAGAAAUUACUGCUAAUACCGUAUGAUGUCUUCGGACCAAAGAUUUAUCGCCUAGGGAUGAGCCCGCGUAGGAUUAGCUAGUUGGUGGGGUAAAGGCCUACCAAGGCGACGAUCCUUAGCUGGUCUGAGAGGAUGAUCAGCCACACUGGGACUGAGACACGGCCCAGACUCCUACGGGAGGCAGCAGUGGGGAAUAUUGGACAAUGGGCGAAAGCCUGAUCCAGCAAUGCCGCGUGAGUGAAGAAGGCCUUCGGGUUGUAAAGCUCUUUUACCCGGGAAGAUAAUGACUGUACCGGGAGAAUAAGCCCCGGCUAACUCCGCGCCAGCAGCCGC
RNAcentral lists this ribosomal RNA (446 nucleotides) under uncultured bacterium. RNAcentral describes it as "SSU rRNA". It matches the Rfam family "Bacterial small subunit ribosomal RNA", at positions 26 to 518 of the family's 1533-position model. The record is from RNAcentral.